GUCUUGACCCUUGUUAUAUUCUUGCUUCUUGUCUCAGAUACUAAAUAUUUGGAGGGAAUUUUUAUUGAGUCUGAAUUUGGAUUAUCUUCAAACAUGUCUUUUCCAUGGAAGAAGUUGAAGAAGACAAGUAUAUCUCAAUUGGUGAAGGACCAUAUUCAUUCUCAAAAACCUCUUAUGGUGGAAACUGGUUUCCCUUCUUCCCUUGUGGAUCUUUUUGUCAAGAAUCGUCGAAAGUUCAUGAAAACUUCCAAGAAAAA
RNAcentral lists this unclassified non-coding RNA (257 nucleotides) under Hevea brasiliensis (rubber tree). Lineage: Eukaryota; Viridiplantae; Streptophyta; Magnoliopsida; Malpighiales; Euphorbiaceae. The record is from RNAcentral.